UUAAUUUAUUUGUUUUGCCUUGCGGCGUAUUCAGAAGAUGCUGAUAAUACAAGAGUUUGAUGGUCCCCGGCGGCCGCUGGUCCAGUCCGCGUCCGGCUGGGGCGAGUCCGCCGAAGCAACGAUAGGUAGGUUCACAUAAGGGUUUGGGAGUUGAAAACUCGGUAAUGAUCCCUCCGCUGGUUCACCAACGGAGA
Molecule: unclassified non-coding RNA, 194 nt
Filed under: uncultured fungus
Lineage: Eukaryota; Fungi
Description: sequence contains ITS1
Source: RNAcentral